ACUAAAUAGAUACCCAGGUAGUCCACGCCGUAAACGUUGGGCGCUAGGUGUGGGGCUCUUUCCACGAGUUCCGUGCCGCAGCAAAAACGCAUUAAGCGCCCCGCCUGGGGAGUACGGCCGCAAGGCUAAAACUCAAAGGAAUUGACGGGGGCCCGCACAAGCGGCGGAGCAUGCGGAUUAAAUUCGAUGCAACGCGAAGAACCUUACCAAGGCUUGACAUACGCAGAAAACCGGCAGAGAUGUCGGGUCCGUAAGGGCUGUGUACAGGUGGUGCAUGGUUGUCGUCAGCUCGUGUCGUGAGAUGUUGGGUUAAGUCCCGCAACGAGCGCAACCCUCGUUCCAUGUUGCCAGCACGUAAUGGUGGGGACUCAUGGGAGACUGCCGGGGUCAACUCGGAGGAAGGUGGGGAUGACGUCAAAUCAUCAUGCCCCUUAUGUCUUGGGCUUCACGCAUGCUACAAUGGCCAGUACAAAGGGCUGCGAGACCGUAAGGUGGAGCGAAUCCCAAAAGCUGGUCUCAGUUCGGAUCGGGGGUCUGCAAC
This 541-nucleotide ribosomal RNA is filed under the name uncultured bacterium. RNAcentral describes it as "bacterial SSU rRNA". It matches the Rfam family "Bacterial small subunit ribosomal RNA", at positions 772 to 1311 of the family's 1533-position model. The record is from RNAcentral.